This 699-nucleotide ribosomal RNA is filed under the name uncultured bacterium. Its description in RNAcentral is "bacterial SSU rRNA". It matches the Rfam family "Bacterial small subunit ribosomal RNA", at positions 135 to 854 of the family's 1533-position model. The record is from RNAcentral.
ACACACGGAUAACAUACCGAAAGGUAUGCUAAUACGGGAUAAUAUAUUUGAGAGGCAUCUCUUAAAUAUCAAAGGUGAGCCAGUACAGGAUGGACCCGCGUCUGAUUAGCUAGUUGGUAAGGUAACGGCUUACCAAGGCGACGAUCAGUAGCCGACCUGAGAGGGUGAUUGGCCACAUUGGAACUGAGACACGGUCCAAACUCCUACGGGAGGCAGCAGUGGGGAAUAUUGCACAAUGGGCGAAAGCCUGAUGCAGCAACGCCGCGUGAGUGAUGAAGGCCUUCGGGUCGUAAAACUCUGUCCUCAAGGAAGAUAAUGACGGUACUUGAGGAGGAAGCCCCGGCUAACUACGUGCCAGCAGCCGCGGUAAUACGUAGGGGGCUAGCGUUAUCCGGAUUUACUGGGCGUAAAGGGUGCGUAGGCGGUCUUUCAAGUCAGGAGUGAAAGGCUACGGCUCAACCGUAGUAAGCUCUUGAAACUGGGAGACUUGAGUGCAGGAGAGGAGAGUGGAAUUCCUAGUGUAGCGGUGAAAUGCGUAGAUAUUAGGAGGAACACCAGUUGCGAAGGCGGCUCUCUGGACUGUAACUGACGCUGAGGCACGAAAGCGUGGGGAGCAAACAGGAUUAGAUACCCUGGUAGUCCACGCUGUAAACGAUGAGUACUAGGUGUCGGGGGUUACCCCCUUCGGUGCCGCAGCUA